Molecule: long non-coding RNA, 1821 nt
Filed under: Sus scrofa (pig)
Lineage: Eukaryota; Metazoa; Chordata; Mammalia; Artiodactyla; Suidae
Description: lncRNA (ENSSSCG00050017653.1)
Source: RNAcentral
CACAAUAUCCUAGAAGGUCCGUGGCUGGAGCAGGGAGAGAGCCUAGGGCGGGGGGAGGGGAGGAGAGCCGCCCGGGUGCCUGCGGCACCCGGUGCACCCGGGCGACCGCGGCGCGCCGCUUACCUUUCACCACCCUGUCGGUCGUCGACAACUUGGGAUCAAUUGCCUUGGGCUCGGACAUCUCCAGCCGCCGGGGGACAGCGACGCGCUGCUCGUCCGUCCUACUGCACACCCCGACCGGACUGGCGGGCCAACACUCAACGCCGCCGCCGCCGCCGCGCUGCAAACCGCUUGGCUGGAGGUCUGGGCUCUGAGCUGGCUUUAAAGUUACUGCCUUCUCCGCGCGUCCCUCCUCCUCCGCCGCCGCCGCCUUCACUCCUCCUCCACCGCCGCCAGCCCCUCCGACUCUGCUCCGGGCUGCGCGUGUGUGGUGGUUAUUUAUUUAUUUUCAAAGCACGCCUCUCGGUUCUUCUUUUAUUCUUGGGGGAAGGGGGAUGGGGAGGGGAAGCGCACACACGAGCACCCACCCUGGCACGGAGAUCAGGCACAGCGGAAUGGAUCCCCACGCGCGCACACUGCCGGGAUUAAGACCGAUCACAUGGGGAGGGCCGGGGGCGAGAGAGAGAGGCAGGGCCGCCGAUGUCAAUGCCACCAGCCGCGCCUCAGCGUCCCCGGCGGCUGAGAGGCGGACGCCGCUGCUGCUGCUGCCGCUGUUACUGCCGCUGCUUCCCCACACCGACCGCUGCCGCUGAUCCGCGGCCGCCAGAGACGUCCCGCCGCCGUGCUCGCCCGUGCCCGCCUCUGCCUCCCAGCGCCGCUCCUCCACUCACACAGGCACAGCCGUGGAGCUCGGCAGACACAGUCCGGGGCGCAACCUACCCUCCACCGCUGCCGCCUCCUCCGCCGCCGCCGCCACCGCUCCCGCCUCCUCCCCUUCCUCCUCCCGGCCCCCGCCUCUAUCGCCCCAGCAGCCUCCUCCUCCUCGCGGAGCCCGCCCCCUGGCUCCCCGCCCAGACGUUGGGUCAGCGGUCGCUUAUUGGCUAGCGUGUGCGUCACUCACCGCCAGUGGCGACCUCCUCGUGGGUCCCGCCUCCCGCUCCUCCUCUUCGUCCCCGCCCCCUGCUCUGUUUUCUCCUGGUUGCCAGUCCUGUGGGCCUGUCGCCUCCACCAACCAGUCCCCGCUCAGGUGUCACUGUUGCUGGCAGGCCGGGGUUAGGGAAGGAGAAUGGGCAGGGGUCGCGGUUGGGAGGAGAGAGGCCCUACUAUGCCACCCUCAGCCCGAUUUGGCCUCCUCCCCGGCACCCCGCACACACACCCCAUACACCCCGGGCCGCUUUGGCAACCGUGCCUCGUCGGCUGGGUCGAGCCGCAGUGUGGGACCGUGUGGUGGUCAUUUAUGUUUCCCACUUGUGCAUCCACACCUUCCGAGGAGGGGCCGCUCUGGAGCGUUGCGGCCCGAAGACUUGGCAGAGCGUGCUGGGAGCUCUAGGACGCUGGAGCAGACUGUCCACCGAGGGGCCACAGAAUGAAGAGCAGGUCUCCCUCUGCAAGAAGGUCACCUCACCCAGCACCUCUCCCCAACCAAGCUCAGCACCAAGGAAUUACAGUACAAACUCAAAAAGGAGUUUUACGAAUUGACUGCUGACCCUCGAGUGUGGCUUCAGCAGUGUGGCCUGCAAGGAAUAGGAGCUCACACUAGGAGGCAGGUGAGCCUCUAAGGAGGCCUUUUAGCAAAAGGAGACCAUUCUGGGUAUGUCCCUGGCUCAGAGAGACUGCCACUGGCUCCUAAUUCUGCUGCCCAAUUCAGAACCUGGGACAGUU